This 343-nucleotide unclassified non-coding RNA is filed under the name soil metagenome. RNAcentral describes it as "partial contains 5.8S ribosomal RNA, internal transcribed spacer 2, and large subunit ribosomal RNA". The stretch from base 1 to 120 matches the Rfam family "5.8S ribosomal RNA", at positions 35 to 154 of the family's 154-position model. The record is from RNAcentral.
GAUGAAGAACGUAGCGAAAUGCGAUAAGUAUUGUGAAUUGCAGAAUUCAGUGAAUCAUCGAAUCUUUGAACGCACAUUGCGCCCGCUAGUAUUCUGGCGGGCAUGCCUGUCCGAGCGUCAUUUCAACCCUCAAGCCCCCGGGCUUGGUGUUGGGGAUCGGCGAGCCUCCGCGCCCGCCGUCCCCUAAAUCUAGUGGCGGUCUCGCUGUAGCUUCCUCUGCGUAGUAGCACACCUCGCACUGGGAAACAGCGCGGCCACGCCGUUAAACCCCCAACUUCUGAACGUUUGACCUCGGAUCAGGUAGGAAUACCCGCUGAACUUAAGCAUAUCAAUAAGCGGAGGA